UCCGGAAUCGAGUCAAGGGAUUCCAGGGUUCAUAUAAAAGGUAGAGAAUCAGGGUGAAUCAACUUUUAUUGGGUUUUUCUCUCACUUUACCCUCAUUCGCUGAAAGCCGAUCGACGCUCUCCGGUGAAAGCAAAAAUGCGAGGUGAGAUUUCCUUCUUCUUCUUCUUCUUCUUCUUCGUCUUCGUCUUCGUCUUCUUCUUCUUCUCAGUUGUGUUUUCUUUUGUUACACAUUUACCCCUUUGCAUGGAAGACGAUCCCAGCCAAUAGCCAUCUGAAAACCAAUGAUGUAUUCAAGGGUUUGCCUCUUAGGUUUCUAUUUCACUGUGUAAGGUUUACACAUUUGGCUUAGAUGAUCGGUUGCCAAGGGUAGUGCAAAAUCCAUCUGAAGUCAGCAGUAUGGAAUCUAUGCUCUCGAUUUGCCCUAUUCCUCUGAGACGGAAAUUUUGCCAUUGAAGUGUCCAACCAAUUCCCUCCAAAACAAAAGGAAGAUUCAAGACUCUACAAGACCAGUAACUAAUGGAGAAUUCAGCUUCUAUAUGAAUCUUAUACAUUUUCUACUAUUGGGUUAGAUGUUCUCAAGGUGGGUUUGUUGGUUUGGUUGACAUAAUUGUGGUGAGUUGCUCUUCUUCUAAGGAUUUAUGACGUAGACAACGAGGGCAUCAUUUCACAUGAUAGGGAAAAUGUAUCUUACUACUUUGAGUAUAAUGGUUUCACCAUUUUUGUAAUGUUUUCAAUUUCUUUUGCUAAGGCUUCGAGAAUUGAGUACGGAGAACAAUAUUUUGAAAUGAUCCACAAUCAUUUGCCUUUUUGUCAAGACUUGUUUAGUCAUCUCAAUAAUUUCCUCUUUUCUCAA
Macadamia integrifolia is the source of this 853-nucleotide long non-coding RNA. RefSeq lists it as uncharacterized. Lineage: Eukaryota; Viridiplantae; Streptophyta; Magnoliopsida; Proteales; Proteaceae. The record is from RefSeq and is a predicted model, not a curated record. The transcript is spliced from 6 exons.